UAUCACAGCCACAUCACGCUGCAUCCCCAGAGCAGUUACUCACUCAAGCUAAGCUGGGCUGAGCCUGGUCAGUACCUGGAUGGGAGACCGCAUGGGAAAACUAGGUUGCUGUUGGAA
RNAcentral lists this ribosomal RNA (117 nucleotides) under Danio rerio (zebrafish). Lineage: Eukaryota; Metazoa; Chordata; Actinopteri; Cypriniformes; Danionidae. The record is from RNAcentral.